Molecule: long non-coding RNA, 1380 nt
Organism: Eptesicus fuscus (big brown bat)
Lineage: Eukaryota; Metazoa; Chordata; Mammalia; Chiroptera; Vespertilionidae
Exons: 7
Source: RefSeq, a predicted model, not a curated record
CCCCCGCUCUGGUCCGCGCACGGGCCGGGACCUUGCCCGGGACCUCCGUGCCGCGACGCGGCGGCCCCAGCAGCUGGCGACCGUCGCCACUGUCGUCCAGCCGGGGCCUCUAGCAAAGUUGCGGGGCCCUCGCUGUGCCUGCGGGCCGGCCCCUCCGGGACGGACCCGAACUUUACACGACUUCGCGGCUACAGGUGAUCCAAAUGGCACCUCGCUCAAGGAAACCAUGGGCGUAGUCUCCUGCCGCCGGGCGCAGUCGGCCCGGGGCCACCGUUUCUGUGGCGGAGCUCAAGGAGCACAUGUCCCGGGCGAUUGCAGUGCGGUGCUAAUUUGAAACGUAGUUGCAAGUAGCGCUCCCAACACCGGAGGCUUGAAAUCCCAGAGCAGGGAAGCCUUUGAUACGCCCAGAGCCCGAGGUCGGCCCCACGCCCGGUGGUGACACAUGCAGAAGCACUACGCCUGCAACACGCUCCCGCUCAGGGAUGACCACCGAGCAGCGAAAUGCUUACCUUCCUGCAGUUGUAGAAAUCCCGGUGGGGGUUGUUCUUCAGCUCCUUUAACUCAUCCAUCUCGUUGAGCAUCUCAUGGACCUGGAACUUGGAGGAGAGGAACUUCAGGCGCCGAGCACAUACGAUUUCUGCUCAAGGAGUUACGAAGGGCUUAUAUGGAUGAAUGACCCCUUCUUUCCACUGCUACAGUUUCAACCUAGGAAACCCAAGAACAAAGUCCACACUGUCGCAGCCUUGAAAGCAAGGGGCCCGACGGGGGCUGGGCUGGAACCUGCAACCCAGACAUAAAGCCAAGAGGAAGCCAGCAGAAUGUUCUUUCCCCCGUGAAGCGGGGCGUGAAAGGUUGGGGGAGUGCUAUGAGGAGGAGGUUCCAGCAAAGCGUAGGUAGCAAAUAAUGAAAAUGGCAACCAGCUAUUUGGAGCGACAGUAGAACACAGAAACAUUCUUCACAGGAUGACAAAGCAAAGUGCAUGCAAAGAGAAAGAUCCCCCCCCCCUCCUGCCCCAUCAACGUCUAUACAGGUCUCCAAAAUGCCCCACUUUCAAUUCUGUCUUAAAAAAAGAAAAAUGACAGAGCAACGCUCCAAAAGCAGCAGCAAGUUCCUGCUACCAGGUGUCAACAGCACUGUGAAAACUCAGAACGAACGCCGAGGAGCACGGCGCGCUGAGUUCAUUCAACUCUGGACACAGAAUAGAGUUCUUCCUCUCUUCUGACUUCAGUUCAAGGCAAUGUGGAGUUUGCUUAAUAAGUGAAAAUUCAUAUUAGAAGACAGAGGACCUCACAAUUCCAAUUCAACGGCUUCUUGCUCUGAGCACUCAGCUUCUGUUAGCUCGUAUGCAGACUAACACAUCAACACCUCGUCUUAAACUCU